RNAcentral lists this ribosomal RNA (201 nucleotides) under uncultured bacterium. RNAcentral describes it as "partial 16S ribosomal RNA". It matches the Rfam family "Bacterial small subunit ribosomal RNA", at positions 331 to 524 of the family's 1533-position model. The record is from RNAcentral.
GCGGCGCCCUACGGGAGGCAGCAGUGGGGAAUAUUGCACAAUGGGCGCAAGCCUGAUGCAGCCAUGCCGCGUGUAUGAAGAAGGCCUUCGGGUUGUAAAGUACUUUCAGCGGGGAGGAAGGCGAUGUGGUUAAUAACCAUGUCGAUUGACGUUACCCGCAGAAGAAGCACCGGCUAACUCCGUGCCAGCAGCCGCGGUAAU